GAUGAACGCUGGCGGCGUGCCUAAUACAUGCAAGUCGAGCGAACGGACGAGAAGCUUGCUUCUCUGACGUUAGCGGCGGAGGGGUGAGUAACACGUGGAUAACCUACCUAUAAGACUGGGAUAACUUCGGGAAACCGGAUCUAAUACCGUAUAAUAUUUUGAACCGCAUGGGUCAAAAGUGAAAGACGGUCUUGCUGUCACUUAUAGAUGGAUCCGCGCUGCAUUAGCUAGUUGGUAAGGUAACGGCUUACCAAGGCAACGAGGCAUAGCCGACCUGAGAGGGUGAUCGGCCACACUGGAACUGAGACACGGUCCAGACUCCUACGGGAGGCAGCAGUAGGGAAUCUUACGCAAUGGGCGAAAGCCUGACGGAGCAACGCCGCGUGAGUGAUGAAGGUCUUCGGAUCGUAAAACUCUGUUAUUAGGGAAGAACAUAUGUGUAAGUAACUGUGCACAUAUUGACGGUACCUAAUAAGAAAGCCACGGCUAACUACGUG
RNAcentral lists this ribosomal RNA (497 nucleotides) under uncultured bacterium. RNAcentral describes it as "partial 16S ribosomal RNA". It matches the Rfam family "Bacterial small subunit ribosomal RNA", at positions 28 to 507 of the family's 1533-position model. The record is from RNAcentral.